This 75-nucleotide transfer RNA is filed under the name Parcubacteria group bacterium. RNAcentral's name for it is "tRNA-Arg". It matches the Rfam family "tRNA". From Rfam's summary of the family: Transfer RNA (tRNA) molecules are approximately 80 nucleotides in length. The record is from RNAcentral.
GACCCCAUAGUUCAAUGGAUAGAACGAGAAUCUCCUAAGUUCUAGAUGCAGGUUCGAUUCCUGCUGGGGUCACCA